Molecule: microRNA precursor, 105 nt
Filed under: Canis lupus dingo (dingo)
Lineage: Eukaryota; Metazoa; Chordata; Mammalia; Carnivora; Canidae
Description: mir-8834 microRNA precursor family
Rfam family: mir-8834 microRNA precursor family
Source: Rfam by way of RNAcentral
AGGAGCAACAGCCCUAGUGGCGGGGCCAGGUCUGGAAACCUGGAUUCAGUCCCCGCAGGAACUCCGGAGCUCUCCUUCUGCAGGGCCUGGAGGCUCCGGGCGGGG